This 717-nucleotide ribosomal RNA is filed under the name Bacillus sp. (in: firmicutes). Its description in RNAcentral is "bacterial SSU rRNA". It matches the Rfam family "Bacterial small subunit ribosomal RNA", at positions 36 to 735 of the family's 1533-position model. The record is from RNAcentral. Lineage: Bacteria; Bacillati; Bacillota; Bacilli; Caryophanales; Bacillaceae.
CUGAGUGCUGCGUGCUAUACAUGCAGUCGAGCGGACCGACGGGAGCUUGCUCCCUUAGGUCAGCGGCGGACGGGUGAGUAACACGUGGGUAACCUGCCUGUAAGACUGGGAUAACUCCGGGAAACCGGGGCUAAUACCGGAUGCUUGAUUGAACCGCAUGGUUCAAUCAUGAAAGGCGGCUUCGGCUGCCGUUUACAGAUGGACCCGCGGCGCAUUAGCUAGUUGGUGAGGUAACGGCUCACCAAGGCGACGAUGCGUAGCCGACCUGAGAGGGUGAUCGGCCACACUGGGACUGAGACACGGCCCAGACUCCUACGGGAGGCAGCAGUAGGGAAUCUUCCGCAAUGGACGAAAGUCUGACGGAGCAACGCCGCGUGAGUGAUGAAGGUUUUCGGAUCGUAAAGCUCUGUUGUUAGGGAAGAACAAGUACCGUUCGAAUAGGGCGGUACCUUGACGGUACCUAACCAGAAAGCCACGGCUAACUACGUGCCAGCAGCCGCGGUAAUACGUAGGUGGCAAGCGUUGUCCGGAAUUAUUGGGCGUAAAGCGCGCGCAGGCGGUUUCUUAAGUCUGAUGUGAAAGCCCCCGGCUCAACCGGGGAGGGUCAUUGGAAACUGGGGAACUUGAGUGCAGAAGAGGAGAGUGGAAUUCCACGUGUAGCGGUGAAAUGCGUAGAGAUGUGGAGGAACACCAGUGGCGAAGGCGACUCUCUGGUCU